UUAUGGCCAUAUCAUGUUGAAACACUGGUUCUUGUACUAUCACCAAAGUUGAGCAACAUCAAGCCUGGUUAGUACCUAAAUAGGUGACCACUUGGGAAUACCAGGUGCUGUAAG
Non-coding RNA from Acanthosepion pharaonis, 114 nucleotides. NCBI's taxonomy places the organism in Eukaryota, Metazoa, Mollusca, Cephalopoda, Sepiida, Sepiidae. The record is from the annotation of a GenBank genome assembly.